This 386-nucleotide long non-coding RNA is filed under the name Salmo salar (Atlantic salmon). RNAcentral describes it as "lncRNA (ENSSSAG00000089650.1)". Lineage: Eukaryota; Metazoa; Chordata; Actinopteri; Salmoniformes; Salmonidae. The record is from RNAcentral.
UGUUGAUAUGCUGUUUCUAUAAUAACAUCAUACUGCAGGAGGGAGAGAGAGGCAGUGUGUUGAUAUGCUGUUUGUAUAAUAACAACACACUGCAGGAGGAGAGAGAGAGGCAGUGUGUUGAUAUGCUGUUUGUAUAAUAACAACAUACUACAGGAGGAGAGAGAGGCAGUGUGUUGAUAUGCUGUUUGUAUAAUAACAUCAUACUGCAGGAGGAGAGAGAGGCAGUGUGUUGAUAUGCUGUUUGUAUAAUAACAACAUACUGCAGGAGGAGAGAGAGGCAGUGUGUUGAUAUGCUGUUUGUAUAAUAACAACAUACUGCAGGAGAGAGAGAGGCAGUGUGUUGAUAUGCUGUUUGUAUAAUAACAACAUACUGCAGGAGGAGAGAG